Molecule: ribosomal RNA, 279 nt
Filed under: uncultured bacterium
Lineage: Bacteria
Description: partial 16S ribosomal RNA
Rfam family: Bacterial small subunit ribosomal RNA
Source: RNAcentral
UUUCCUACGGGAGGCAGCAGUGGGGGAUAUUGCACAAUGGGGGAAACCCUGAUACAGCGACGCCGCGUGUGGGAAGACGGUCUUCUGGAUUGUAAACCACUGUCCCCAGGGACGAAAAUGACGGUACCUGGGGAGGAAGCUCCGGCUAACUACGUGCCAGCAGCCGCGGUAAUACGUAGGGGGCAAGCGUUAUCCGGAUUUACUGGGUGUAAAGGGAGCGUAGACGGCAUGGCAAGUCAGAUGUGAAAGCCCGGGGCUCAACCCCGGGACUGCAUUUGA